UCAGUCGAUCCACGGGGAGGCAGCAGUGGGGAAUAUUGCACAAUGGGGGAAACCCUGAUGCAGCCAUGCCGCGUGUGUGAAGAAGGCCUUCGGGUUGUAAAGCACUUUCAGUAGGGAGGAAGGUAGUGUAGUUAACACCUGCAUUAUUUGACGUUACCUACAGAAGAAGCACCGGCUAACUCCGUGCCAGCAGCCGCGGUAAUACGGAGGGUGCGAGCGUUAAUCGGAAUUACUGGGCGUAAAGCGCAUGCAGGCGGCCUGUUAAGUCAGAUGUGAAAGACCCGGGGCUUAACCUCGGAAUUGCAUUUGAAACUGGCAGGCUAGAGUCUUGUAGAGGGGGGUAGGAAUUUCAGGUGUAGCGGUGAAAUAGCGUAGAGAUCUGAAGGAAUACCAGUGGCGAAGGCGGCCCCCUCGGACAAAGACUGACGCUCAGAUGCGAAAGCGUGGGGAGCAAACAGGAUUAGAUACCCUGGUAG
RNAcentral lists this ribosomal RNA (476 nucleotides) under uncultured bacterium. Its description in RNAcentral is "bacterial SSU rRNA". It matches the Rfam family "Bacterial small subunit ribosomal RNA", at positions 331 to 793 of the family's 1533-position model. The record is from RNAcentral.